Molecule: ribosomal RNA, 511 nt
Filed under: uncultured bacterium
Lineage: Bacteria
Description: bacterial SSU rRNA
Rfam family: Bacterial small subunit ribosomal RNA
Source: RNAcentral
GACGAACGCUGACGGUGUGCUUUAGACAUGCAAGUCGAACGAGAAAGCCCUUCGGGUGAGUACAGUGGCGAACGGGUGCGUAACACGUGGGCAACCUGCCCCUCGCAGGGGGACAACCGGAGGAAACUCCGGCUAAUACCCCGUAAGCUCUAUAGGUCGCAUGACCAUUAGAGGAAAGGUAGCUUCGGCCAUCCGGCGAGGGAUGGGCCCGCGGUACAUUAGCUUGUUGGUGGGGUAACGGCCUACCAAGGCGACGAUGUAUAGCUGGUCUGAGAGGAUGAUCAGCCACACUGGGACUGAGACACGGCCCAGACUCCUACGGGAGGCAGCAGUCGGGAAUCUUGCACAAUGGGCGAAAGCCUGAUGCAGCAACACCGUGUGAACGAUGAAGGCCUUAGGGUUGUAAAGUUCUGUUGUUGGGGACGAAGGGCGAAGGUUAAUAGCCCCUAGCCGUGACGGUACCCUUGAGGAAGCCCCGGCUAACUACGUGCCUGCAGCAGCCGACAGUAAC